CCUACGGGUGGCAGCAGUAGGGAAUAUUGCUCAAUGGGGGAAACCCUGAAGCAGCAACGCCGCGUGGAGGAUGAAGGUCUUAGGAUUGUAAACUUCUUUUGUUAGAGAAGAUUAUGACGGUAUCUAACGAAUAAGCACCGGCUAACUCCGUGCCAGCAGCCGUGGUAAUAUGGAGGGUGCAAGCGUUACUCGGAAUCACUGGGCGUAAAGGGUGCGUAGGCGGGGUAAUAAGUCAGAUGUGAAAUCCUGUAGCUUAACUACAGAACUGCGUUGGAAACUGUUACUCUGGAGUGUGGGAGAGGUAGGUGGAAUUCUUGGUGUAGGGGUAAAAUCCGUAGAGAUCAAGAGGAAUACUCAUUGCGAAGGCGACCUGCUGGAACAUUACUGACGCUGAGGCGCGAAAGCGUGGGGAGCGAACAGGAUUAGAUACCCGGGUAGUC
RNAcentral lists this ribosomal RNA (440 nucleotides) under uncultured bacterium. RNAcentral's name for it is "partial 16S ribosomal RNA". It matches the Rfam family "Bacterial small subunit ribosomal RNA", at positions 338 to 795 of the family's 1533-position model. The record is from RNAcentral.